UAUUGAUGGAACUGGUCCUUCAGGUAUUUCUAGCAUUAAGUUAUAUGACAGAUCUUUUUCAAUGGGAAAUUGAACGUGUCUAUGUCUUGAGAAAAUGAUUGACUGCAUUUAAAGAAGAAAAAUAAAGUGGGAUAAGGAACUAAAUAAAUGACGAGGAGCAUCAUGACAUAGAAUUCAUGAUGUGCUCCUAGAAAGUCAAAAGCUUGCUUUUUUUGAUAUUGUCUAUUUCACAUUUUAUAGAUAUUUUAUUUACCCCAAGCACUUUAUAAAGAUCGUGAUAUAUUAAUAACUUCAUCCUUAAUUUUAAAUAUUCUCUAAGGACAUCCAGAAAUCUGCUUAAUCCAUAUUUGAAUAUUAUACUGCUAGUUCAUGAAUUUUUAAAUAACUUGUAUUCCCUUUGGUUUGACAUAAAUUUUCAUAGUAAAGCUCUAUCAUACUCACUUUAUCAUGUGACACUUUUUCAUUGCAUUGGCUUUACCCUUUUUUUCAAAAAAACCAAUGAAAGAUAAAAAUACUAGUCAAGUAAUUUGGCCUGCAUUUGCUUUAAUGGUUG
This 553-nucleotide unclassified non-coding RNA is filed under the name Hevea brasiliensis (rubber tree). The record is from RNAcentral. Lineage: Eukaryota; Viridiplantae; Streptophyta; Magnoliopsida; Malpighiales; Euphorbiaceae.